Molecule: ribosomal RNA, 429 nt
Filed under: Pseudomonadota bacterium
Lineage: Bacteria; Pseudomonadati; Pseudomonadota
Description: Proteobacteria bacterium partial 16S ribosomal RNA
Rfam family: Bacterial small subunit ribosomal RNA
Source: RNAcentral
UGGGGAAUUUUGGACAAUGGGCGAAAGCCUGAUCCAGCCAUGCCGCGUGUGUGAAGAAGGUCUUCGGAUUGUAACGCACUUUAAGUUGGGAGGAAGGGCAGUAAGCGAAUACCUUGCUGUUUUGACGUUACCGACAGAAUAAGCACCGGCUAACUCUGUGCCAGCAGCCGCGGUAAUACAGAGUGUGCAAGCGUUAAUCGGAAUUACUGGGCGUAAAGCGCGCGUAGGUGGUUCGUUAAGUUGAAUGUGAAAGCCCCGGGCUCAACCUGGGAAAUGCAUCCAAAACUGGCGAGCUAGAGGAGGGGAGAGGGUGGUGGAAUUUCCUGUGUAGCGGUGAAAUGCGUAGAUAUAGGAAGGAACACCAGUGGCGAAGGCGACCACCUGGGCUCAUACUGACACUGAGGUGCGAAAGCGUGGGGAGCAAACAGG